Long non-coding RNA from Pezoporus flaviventris, 815 nucleotides. RefSeq lists it as uncharacterized. The transcript is spliced from 2 exons. The record is from RefSeq and is a predicted model, not a curated record. NCBI's taxonomy places the organism in Eukaryota, Metazoa, Chordata, Aves, Psittaciformes, Psittacidae.
CACAGGACUGUCAGGAAGAGGCUAUUGGCCAGGAGUGGAUUGCCCAGCCCAGAUUUAUCUGGGGACCAAAGGAGCAGGUGAAAGCGGUGGUGGCAGUGCCGGCCCAAGGUGGCAUCACCUGACUUGGCAAAAUGAGCCAACAGGCUGCAGAAGCCACAAGCACACACCUAAUGAUGGCAGGGAUGGGAGAAGAAGGGGGACACAGCCAUCGCCAUGGGGACAGCCCAGGUGCGCCAUCAGGGGAACCAUCCCCUGAACUAUUUCAGGUGACUGAAAGGAAAAGGUCAGGCAAGGGCAGGAGCUCUGGCACGUGCAGCCUGCGGCUGCCCCAUCCUGCUUGUACCUUGCCCCCAGCCAGCUUCCCCACCUGCCCUCUCCCAGCCAUACAGAGGACGCCGCUGCCAUCCCUUUGCUUGGCGAGCACCAUAGGUGCUUUGUUCAGCCCAUCCACCUCUGCUCAAGAGCUUAAGGGCUCCUCUGGUUGCCGUUGCCAAGGCACUUCUCUGUCCUUGACCUUCUGCAGACUGGGUACUGCAGCACCAUGGGGAGCAUCCUCAGGCAGAGGGGACACUUAGGGAUGGCUCAAGCAGAGGGUGCUGGAAAGCGGCACCUGUGCCCUGGCCCAGAAAUCAAACACAGGGAAGGCAGAUGUGAACAUAGUCUGUUUAUUUUAAGUGGGGGACAUAAAAAGAGGGGGUGGAGGAUGUAGUAGGAGGGGUGGAAAUUAUAUAUUGAGAGUAAAAAAAUGCUAAAAUGAUAGUAAAAUGAUGGUAAAAAUACUAGUUUACUAUUGUUACAACAACAACGGAAAAACA